ACUGGGUAUUGCGACACGUGCCUGUAGUCCCAGCUACUCAGGAAGCUGAGGCAGGAGGAUCAUUUGAGCCCAGGUGUUCUGGGCUAUAGUGUGCUACAUGCCCAUUGGGUGUCCACAAUAAGUUCAGUGUCAAUAUGGUAACACCAACAGGUUGCCUAAGGAGGGGUGAACCAGGCCAGGUUAGAAACAGAGCAGGCCAAAACUCCCAUGCUGACCAGUAGUGGGAUUGGGCCUGUGAACAGCACUGCAGUCCAGGCUGAGCAAUGUAGCGAGACCCUGUCUGUU
Molecule: non-coding RNA, 285 nt
Organism: Nomascus leucogenys (northern white-cheeked gibbon)
Lineage: Eukaryota; Metazoa; Chordata; Mammalia; Primates; Hylobatidae
Rfam family: Metazoan signal recognition particle RNA
About the family: The signal recognition particle (SRP) is a universally conserved ribonucleoprotein. It is involved in the co-translational targeting of proteins to membranes.
Source: Rfam